GACGAACGCUGGCGGCGUGCCUAAUACAUGCAAGUAGAACGCUGAAGCGAGGAGCUUGCUCUUCUUGGAUGAGUUGCGAACGGGUGAGUAACGCGUAGGUAACCUGCCUUGUAGCGGGGGAUAACUAUGGAAACGAUAGCUAAUACCGCAUAACAAUGGAUGACCCAUGUCAUUUAUUUGAAAGGGGCAAUUGCUCCACUACAAGAUGGACCUGCGUUGUAUUAGCUAGUAGGUGAGGUAACGGCUCACCUAGGCGACGAUACAUAGCCGACCUGAGAGGGUGAUCGGCCACACUGGGACUGAGACACGGCCCAGACUCCUACGGGAGGCAGCAGUAGGGAAUCUUCGGCAAUGGGGGCAACCCUGACCGAGCAACGCCGCGUGAGUGAAGAAGGUUUUCGGAUCGUAAAGCUCUGUUGUAAGUCAAGAACGAGUGUGAGAGUGGAAAGUUCACACUGUGACGGGAGCUUACCAGAAAGGGACGGCGAACUACGG
RNAcentral lists this ribosomal RNA (495 nucleotides) under uncultured bacterium. RNAcentral describes it as "partial 16S ribosomal RNA". It matches the Rfam family "Bacterial small subunit ribosomal RNA", at positions 28 to 506 of the family's 1533-position model. The record is from RNAcentral.